GGGGCAGGGGGAUGGUGGGCCGGCGGGUCUGUGGAUUAAGCAUAACAAAUUUAUGGAAGGGUGCUGAUUUUUGUUGCCUUCGUUUAGGACGUUCUCAGAUUAUGCCAGGGUCCCAGAUAUAGUGUCAUCAGCGCUGCCACCUGUCUGGAGUUAGGAUUGUGUGUGCGUGUGGCUGGGUUAAGGCUGGGCAAUAAAUUUAUUUUAUUUGGAUAUCAUGGUACAUUAUGCAACCUUUUAUUUAGCAUAGAAGCAUUUUGGUGCCUAACCUUUUUAACCGAUACAUGGACUUCUUUUAACCUUGUGCCUAUAAUAGAACCAUGAGUGAAUUCACUUCAAGUCCCCUUUGUUGGUUGCUUUCACCCCUACAUUGAGACCCACAGUGGCAGUAUUCUUUGGACUACAAAGCAUUUUGAUUUGAGAUUUUCCAUAGAAAAGAACAUACAGUAUAUGGCUAGGUCUAAUUCCUGUCUGGAAAAUUGACCCUUAGAAUUUUCAGGUUGGUCUGAACCAAAAUGAGUAAGAUGUGUAAAUGGUGCCAUGAGCCAUGGUCUGACCCAAAGAACCCAACUUUGUCUGGUCCAAAAGCUCUGAUUUUCAGCUCUGUUUUGGUAAUUUGGUAAUUGUAUUGGUGUGCAAUUAAUCAAAUGUUAGAUUGUGUAAAAGAUCGUUGUGAUUUUUGCCCUAUUGCCCACCCCUACCAGGGGGGUGGAGCUCUGGAAGAGAGAUAGGAUGUGGACUCCAGUGUCUCAGGUGUUCAGCUGUAAGGUGUGUGUGUGUGUGGUAUCAGUCCAUCAGCACUUUGCCCUGCUGUUUCCUCUCCAUUCUGUCCUCCCUUUACGAUGACUCUCUGCUUUGUCCGCGUAAAGCCAUACCCCAGCGUUCCCCAGCGCUUCAGCCGGUGCCCAGGCAGCAUCUGGAUGUUGUUCAAAGUGAUACCAGCAUUAUCUCAUUUUAGAUGGACUUUCUGUUCCAGGGCUCUAAACUAGACUAACUAGACUACUGAGAGAGUGCUGUGCCAUGUUGGAGCUCUACUUUGGUACAAGGCCUGUUUCCCAUCAAACUCGGUGCAGAGUUAAACUGAUGACCGUUUGGCAAUGUACCGGCCAUUCUAACCACUGAGUUAUGAUAUAUAAUUUUUGCAGCUGGGGUUGGAACAAAGGUUUUGUCACUGUUUUCAUUGGUAACAUUAGUUUUCUUUCAUUAAUCUAAAACUAAGAGUAGUUAACACCGGGAAUCCUUGACUUAUUCUUGGUCCUAACUAUUCUAGCCUUCAAGUCUGCUAAUAAUAUAAAGUCAUAUGUCAGUUGUAAUGUAAGAGCUUGGGAAUACCCACACCUGUUUAAGUUGUGCGGUGUUACCUUGUGUGUAAACUGGCCAGUGUGCUCAUGAUAGCAAAGUAACGUAUUAUGGGAGGGGAAGAAAGACCUGAUAGUGGGUGCCAGAUGGAUGUGACAUUCCAUUUCUGAAGUUCAGGAAUUUAACAAUCCUCGAUCCACAGUGUGACGUGUACCAGAAAUGUGAUCUAGGGAAUUGUUACCCAUAGUAGACAGCACAGUGGCUUACUGCACGUUAACAAACUCGUUAACUGGUUCAGACCAGAAAAAACAAACUUCAGGUGUGAGAAUGCCCUCUUUACAUAGGUAAAGACUAAGAUUUUCAAACAUGCUUUGAAAAUAUCAGAAGGCCACCAGUUUCUCUAGAGCUCAAUCAAAGGGCUAAUGGUUUACUCCUUCACACCAUCAGCACCAGUUACUUCUAAAAAAGCUUUCAACCUAGAUAUCAGUUUGAGUGAAAAUCCUGAUUCAUUUGUCUUGAAUUUGUCUUGUGUCAGUCCAAAAUUAGUAUGUUUUCAGUUUUACUUAAAGGACGUACAACAGUAAGCUAACAAUGUAACACUUAUUUGACUUAACAGUGGUGCACAGGGAUUAACAGCACUUGUUUCCAUUUAUUUCAGAUGUAAUCUUGAAGUCAACACAUGAGAAGUAAUGUGGAAGUAAGGACACGUCUAAAUUUCACGUGUUGAAGUUGCAAUCUGAAUAGUUGAUAUUAAUGCACAAAGUUAAAGGCCACUCUUCUGGAAAUGAAAAAGCUGUCUAUCUAAAGCCAGGGCAGCACAUUUUGGCCUUAGCUGUGUUCAGAGACAGUCAUGUGAAAUUCAUUUUUAGACACAGAAUUGUGUCAGGGAUGACUUGGAGCUCGUGUUUGAUGGAGAGUGACUAGUUCAGUUUGGGGACGGCUGAGUGUAUGGCUGUCUGAGAUCUGAGAGGGACAGGACUCUGGUGGGGUUGAAUGAGGGCUGGCCUACAUAUUUUUAAUGUAUCAUUGCUGUGCUUGUAGCCUCACUGCAGUACUGAUACUAAUGCAUAUCAGCCCUGAGGUAGUGAUGUGUCUUCGUAUCGUACGCAAUAAUAAAAAAACAUUUUUUUGACAUGCAAAAAAUCCAUAUUGUGUUUAUAACAAUAUUUUUAAUAGCAAUCUAUUUUGUAUUUGUUUUGCUAUUUACUGUGUUUACUUUUAAAUAUUUUUGUGCAGUGUAUGCGUUUCACUGAUAAUUUGUGGUAUUACAGUAUUUAUUUAUUUAAUUCAAAAUCAGGGUCUUGGUAAGUUACUGUUUAUAAAAUAAACCAAUGUGUUUAUUUUUUUGUUUUCUACAGAAGUGUUAUUUUGUGUUUACAUUAAUGCAAAUAGUCUUUUACUUUACUGUUUCAGCAGUUUGUUAAUAGUUAUGAUAUUCCACACUACAUACUCUGUGUGGUUAUGAUGCACUGCAACAUGAGGCCGAAACUUCUCAUGUAUUGUCUAUAUCAUGAAAAAUGAUGAUUAAAUUGUGAUGGAGGCAUGAGAAUUUGCAGUGACGUAUGUAGGCAUAGCAACUAAUCACAAAAUGGAUCAAGACUUUAAUAUUGUAUGUACUAACCUGCCAAACCCACACUAAGAUUAGUAUAUUCAGGAUAUCUGUAGAAUCUAAAAUAUCCCCAAUUUAGCAGAGCCCUAUUUUCAAUGUCCAAACAGUUUUAUUUUUGUUUGUAAAAACUGGUCAUUUAUUUUUGUUUGAAAUGUUGUUUGCUGUAAGUGUAAUAUGGGUGUUAUGCCAAAGUGUCUAUAUUUUCUAAAUAGUAUUAAAGGCUUACAUUUUAUUUACUCAUGCAGAUCUGCAGACAUCUCAGCCAGUAUAUAGUAGGGCUGCACAAUAAUUUAAUAUCCAUAUAUAUUGCAAUAAAAAACAUAUUAAUAAUGGUGAACUGUACACAUUUCCAGUAGUUCUAUAUAUCGUAGAAGGUGCACCGGAUUAUAAGACGCACUAUCAAUAAACGUCUAUUUACUGGUAUUUACUGGAACUUCUAAUUCAGCAGGGCUUGUUGCUGAAGGGCUUGUUGUAGGUUAACUAAGUUAAGUAAAGCUAAGCUAAGUAAACAAAAAAAAAAGACUUUCUUUUAUGUGAAACGAGCUCUGGAUGUUAAUCUACACAGAAUUUUCUCUUGAACACUGUUCAUUUGGGUAAGUAAAGCACACCUGUUUCUUUACAGUAAGCUUAGAUUCCUGGAGACUGGAGCAUUAACAUUAGCGGGAAACCACCAGGCCAAUAUUAGCGGUUGGUCCCACAUAGCUCCUUUUAACAGGCUACAGUCUGAUAUACUCACCUCUGCACAACAAAAGAGCUAGCGUGGUUCGCAGCUUAUGCUAAUGCUGCUCCAGCAGGGCUAGCCAGGGUAGCAACAGGCUACAGACUUGUAAUACUCACAUCUGAACAACAGAAGACCUAGCGCAUAAUCUGGUUAGCAGGUAAUGCUAAUGUUGCUUCUACAACAAUAGCCGGGGUUAGCAGCAGGCUAAUAAUACUCUCCUCUAAACCAGGAAAUAGCGGUUAGAAGCUAAUGCUAAUUCUACUCCAGCGCACUGACGAUUUUUGGGAAAAUUUGGAUUUUACAUGCGCCUUAUAGUGCGAUAAAUACUGUACAUGAUUUACAACAUCUGUCACUGACUGAUGCAAAUAUUACAUUUUUUAGUGGUUUGUAGGUAAAGAUUUGUUUUUUAUGGCUUGAUAUUGCUCAUACCGAUAUCGGAAUGAUCACAUGAACCGAAAUUAUGCAAUAUAUUGUAAUGUACAUUUUAGUAAUUUUGCCCAACCCUAUUAUAUAGUCUAGAUGUUAUAGUUUUAGUGUGUAGUACAAAACUGGGACUAUGGAAGUAUCAAAUUCUAUCAAACAAUAAUUGGAUAUAGACAUCCUGUCCGGUAAACAAACUACUGGUGUGUACAGCUUUAAUCUUACUGAUCAUGUGCAGAAAUUAGGCCUGUUACAGUAAUUACAUUAUUGAUUUAAUUUAAUAAUUUUUUCAGUGUCAAGUAUACGGUCAGAACCUAAUAAAGUAAGUUAGCAGAUAUGUCAGAUUUGUUUAAAAACAAUGGUAUUAAAUUAAAGAAUGUUGUAAAAUUAAUGAAAUUGAUAUUUGAGGUGUUAAUCGCUUGCUAGUAUUCCCCAGUAUUGUUGGAAGGGAGACAGUAAUAAUUGUAGUGUGGUUUAGGUCUGGAAGACUAGAUUUAGACUAGUGUUUUUACUGUGUUAAAAUAUCUCAGGCUAGUUUUUAUUUAGAAUUGGUUAAUGUGCUGAGUUAUAGAAGGAGGCAACGUACCAUCAACUGUGUGUGUGUCCAUGCUUGCUCAAAAGUGUGUGUGUUUGAGUGUGAGAGAGAGCGAGAGAGCGCCUGAGAGUCAACAGUUUGGAGGAAGUUCUCUGUGCUGACCUGUCCACACAAUAAAUGCUCAUUUAUGGCAAGAAUCCAAAAUCAGCCUGACAACAAUCUUGUGACACCAUAACCUUUUUGUUGAAUUGCCCAAUCUGCCCACCUGUUCCCCCCAGCAUUCUGAAAUACUGCAUUUUAGCUGAUGCUCCCAACAGGCUUACAAUGCUAGUGUGGAGCUACUCUGAGCUUUUUAAUGGUGUAUAAAUAGUGUUUUCUUUGCAUGGUGAAUGCUAUGCCUGUAUCUAGCAUUGUAAGAAUUCUGGGCUAGUCAACAAAACUAAAUACUCAUUAUUAUGUGACACUACAACCCCAAGUCAAUUUCACACCGGAACUCUCCUUUACAGCAAUUAAGAUAUUAUUGUAGACCAUAUACACUAUAUUGGCAAAAGUAUCCGCUCGUCUGCAUUGUGUUUGGUGAUGUAAGUCUUUGAUACAGCACGCCAAUGGAAAACCAUUUAAUGAAGCUCUGUACACUCUACUGUUCUUAAGCUAGUAAGAAGUUUGGAGGUCUAUUGUGGAGGCUAUUGUGAAAGGUGUAGUGGUAGUGAUAUAAUAAAAAUAAUCAUAGUGGUAUUGUUUUAUUCACUUGGUGCGGCCUCCGUUUUUGGCUUUCUCUGUUCAGGAGAGGCAGGAGUCGGUGUCGGGGAUGAUUAGGUGCUCUGACCCUGUGAUACACAGCAGCAGUGUGUGUCGGGAAUGACUGGGUGUUUUGGCACCGUGCUGUCGAACAAAUGGCUUCUACACACUGCCAACCUGCUCACCUCACAUGGCUUUCUGACUGUAUGGGGUGUAUGUGGGUGUGAACGAUGUACACACACACGCACACGCACACACAAACGCACACAAACACACGCACGCACGCACGCACACACGCACACACACACAAAAAAAAAACACGCGCGCGCAGGCCACCGCUGCUACUCUUAUCCCAGUUGUGAGGAGGAUUAUGUCACUGUCUGCCUUGCGACUCUGAGGUGGGCUAUUUCUCGAGUUUUCCCUUGACAGUACCUGACUGCUGCCUGAUCCUCAUACAUGAGUGUGUAUUUAAAGGGCAGGGUAUAUCCAGACCUAAUAUAAAUGUAAAGAUUUAUUGAUGCCCUGAAGGUGGAGAUUCAGCUGCUUUGGAAUUAGAACCCUAAUAUUUGACCACAUUCUGAUUUUUGAAAAAAAAAAAAAAAUGUAUGCAAAUAAUUUUACACAUGUGCCGAAGAGUGUGUUCAUGAGAACGGGGGUUUUGCCAUGUUUUCGGUUUUACAGUCUAAUAUUCUCACCUCCAAGGCAUGGUAAGCAGCUAAUGCUAACACUGCACCAGCAGUUCUAGCUGGAGUUUUGCAGCAGGCUACAGGCCAAUAAUACUUUAAAUGACAAAGGCGCUGGAGUUUAAUAACAGAUGGAUGGUGCUGUGCUCGUUAGAUUAGUAGGUUGUGGGGUUUAAUAACAGGUGGAUGGUGCUGUGCUGGUUAGAUUAGUAGGUUCUGGGGUUUAAUAACAGAUGGAUGGUGCUGUGCUGGUUAGAUUAGUAGGUUCUGGGGUUUAAUAACAGGUGGAUGGUGCUGUGCUGGUUAGAUUAGUAGGUUGUGGGUUUAAUAACAGGUGGAUGGUGCUGUGCUGGUUAGAUUAGUAGGUUGUGGGUUUAAUAACAGAUGGAUGGUGCUGUGCUGGUUGGAUUAGUAUGUUGUGGGGUUUAAUAACAGAUGGAUGGUGCUGUGCUCGUUAGAUUAGUAGGUUCUGGGGUUUAAUAACAGGUGGAUGGUGCUGUGCUGGUUAGAUUAGUAUGUUGUGGGGUUUAAUAACAGAUGGAUGGUGCUGUGCUGGUUAGAUUAGUAGGUUGUGGGGUUUAAUAACAGGUGGAUGGUGCUGUGCUGGUUAGAUUAGUAGGUUCUGGGGUUUAAUAACAGGUGGAUGGUGCUGUGCUGGUUAGAUUAGUAGGUUCUGGGGUUUAAUAACAGGUGGAUGGUGCUGUGCUGGUUAGAUUAGUAGGUUGUGGGGUUUAAUAACAGAUGGAUGGUGCUGUGCUGGUUAGAUUAGUAGGUUCUGGGGUUUAAUAACAGAUGGAUGGUGCUGUGCUGGUUAGAUUAGUAGGUUGUGGGGUUUAAUAACAGGUGGAUGGUGCUGUGCUGGUUAGAUUAGUAGGUUGUGGGGUUUAAUAACAGAUGGAUGGUGCUGUGCUGGUUAGAUUAGUAUGUUGUGGGGUUUAAUAACAGGUGGAUGGUGCUGUGCUGGUUAGAUUAGUAUGUUGUGGGGUUUAAUAACAGGUGGAUGGUGCUGUGCUGGUUAGAUUAGUAUGUUGUGGGGUUUAAUAACAGAUGGAUGGUGCUGUGCUGGUUAGAUUAGUAUGUUGUGGGGUUUAAUAACAGGUGGAUGGUGCUGUGCUGGUUAGAUUAGUAGGUUGUGGGGUUUAAUAACAGAUGGAUGGUGCUGUGCUGGUUAGAUUAGUAGGUUCUGGGGUUUAAUAACAGGUGGAUGGUGCUGUGCUGGUUAGAUUAGUAUGUUGUGGGGUUUAAUAACAGGUGGAUGGUGCUGUGCUGGUUAGAUUAGUAGGUUGUGGGGUUUAAUAACAGAUGGAUGGUGCUGUGCUGGUUAGAUUAGUAGGUUCUAGGGUUUAAUAACAGAUGGAUGGUGCUGUGCUGGUUAGAUUAGUAGGUUCUGGGGUUUAAUAACAGGUGGAUGGUGCUGUGCUCGUUAGAUUAGUAGGUUCUGGGGUUUAAUAACAGGUGGAUGGUGCUGUGCUGGUUAGAUUAGUAGGUUCUGGGGUUAAAUAACAGGUGGAUGGUGCUGUGCUGGUUAGAUUAGUAGGUUCUGGGGUUUAAUAACAGAUGGAUGGUGCUGUGCUGGUUAGAUUAGUAUGUUGUGGGGUUUAAUAACAGGUGGAUGGUGCUGUGCUGGUUAGAUUAGUAGGUUCUGGGGUUUAAUAACAGGUGGAUGGUGCUGUGCUCGUUAGAUUAGUAGGUUCUGGGGUUUAAUAACAGAUGGAUGGUGCUGUGCUGGUUAGAUUAGUAGGUUCUGGGGUUUAAUAACAGGUGGAUGGUGCUGUGCUGGUUAGAUUAGUAGGUUCUGGGGUUUAAUAACAGGUGGAUGGUGCUGUGCUGGUUAGAUUAGUAGGUUCUGGGGUUUAAUAACAGGUGGAUGGUGCUGUGCUGGUUAGAUUAGUAGGUUCUGGGGUUUAAUAACAGGUGGAUGGUGCUGUGCUGGUUAGAUUAGUAGGUUCUGGGGUUUAAUAACAGGUGGAUGGUGCUGUGCUGGUUAGAUUAGUAGGUUCUGGGGUUUAAUAACAGGUGGAUGGUGCUGUGCUGGUUAGAUUAGUAUGUUGUGGGGUUUAAUAACAGAUGGAUGGUGCUGUGCUCGUUAGAUUAGUAGGUUCUGGGGUUUAAUAACAGGUGGAUGGUGCUGUGCUGGUUAGAUUAGUAGGUUGUGGGGUUUAAUAACAGAUGGAUGGUGCUGUGCUGGUUAGAUUAGUAGGUUGUGGGGUUUAAUAACAGAUGGAUGGUGCUGUGCUGAUUAGAUUAGUAGGUUCUGGGGUUAAAUAACAGGUGGAUGGUGCUGUGCUGGUUAGAUUAGUAGGUUGUGGGUUUAAUAACAGAUGGAUGGUGCUGUGCUGGUUAGAUUAGUAGGUUCUGGGGUUUAAUAACAGGUGGAUGGUGCUGUGCUGGUUAGAUUAGUAGGUUGUGGGGUUUAAUAACAGGUGGAUGGUGCUGUGCUCGUUAGAUUAGUAUGUUGUGAGGUUUAAUAACAGAUGGAUGGUGCUGUGCUGGUUAGAUUAGUAGGUUGUGGGGUUUAAUAACAGGUGGAUGGUGCUGUGCUGGUUAGAUUAGUAGGUUGUGGGGUUUAAUAACAGGUGGAUGGUGCUGUGCUGGUUAGAUUAGUAGGUUGUGGGGUUUAAUAACAGAUGGAUGGUGCUGUGCUCGUUAGAUUAGUAUGUUGUGGGGUUUAAUAACAGAUGGAUGGUGCUGUGCUGGUUAGAUUAGUAGGUUCUGGGGUUUAAUAACAGAUGGAUGGUGCUGUGCUCGUUAG
This is a long non-coding RNA of Astyanax mexicanus (Mexican tetra), 8754 nucleotides long. RefSeq lists it as uncharacterized. The record is from RefSeq and is a predicted model, not a curated record. The transcript has 4 exons. Lineage: Eukaryota; Metazoa; Chordata; Actinopteri; Characiformes; Acestrorhamphidae.